This 164-nucleotide ribosomal RNA is filed under the name uncultured bacterium. Its description in RNAcentral is "partial 16S rRNA". It matches the Rfam family "Bacterial small subunit ribosomal RNA", at positions 355 to 511 of the family's 1533-position model. The record is from RNAcentral.
UAGGGAAUCUUCCACAAUGGGCGAAAGCCUGGUGGAGCAACGCCGCGUGUGUGAUGAAGGGUUUCGGCUCGUAAAACACUGUUGUAAGAGAAGAAUGACAUUGAGAGUAACUGUUCAAUGUGUGACGGUAUCUUACCAGAAAGGAACGGCUAAAUACGUGCCGG